This is a long non-coding RNA of Ailuropoda melanoleuca (giant panda), 549 nucleotides long. RefSeq lists it as uncharacterized. NCBI's taxonomy places the organism in Eukaryota, Metazoa, Chordata, Mammalia, Carnivora, Ursidae. The record is from RefSeq and is a predicted model, not a curated record. The transcript has 3 exons.
AGACCACAUUUGGGAUUCUGCCAGGCGGCCUCAACCCAACCCCACAAAGCCCGGGCUGCAGGAGACCCUGGAGGUCCUCCGAGCUGAGUGGACUUGCCAGGGGGCGGGCCUUGGGGUCCCCAGACAGCAGCUUCACCCUCAGCCUCCUUCCCUGUGAGCGUCUGUGGAGCAAAGAAGAGCGUACCUUAUCCAGAAAGUAUCUUGCCUAUUCCUCGUUUAUUCACCUCAUUCAUUCCUGCUGCAUUCUGGGGGAACAUAAAGAGUCUGAGUGUUCAAGGGUGUCAAGUCCUGGGACGAGGGGAGCAGUGUACUCCCGCAGGUGCUGCUCCAUGUCAAGCCUAGGUGUGUCCUACAUAAAUCAAGAGACCAGAGCUGAGCACUGGUUCCCCAGGUGCGUCCACAGCUUUCCGAGGUCGAGAUCCCGAGAGCCCUGGGAAGUCACGGGGGAGAACAGAGGCAGCAGCUGGCCUCUGGAGACAAUUCAGGGUGCACCGUGAGGAGCCAGGCUCCGAGAUGAGCCCGCAAGCCUAUCAUGAUGAACAACUCCAG